GAGUCCUCCAUAGCUCAGUGGUUAGAGCGUCCAACCGGAACCUGGAAGGUCAUGGGUUCGAUUCCUGUUGGGUUGCUCA
RNAcentral lists this transfer RNA (79 nucleotides) under Desmophyllum pertusum. RNAcentral's name for it is "tRNA-Ser". The stretch from base 8 to 71 matches the Rfam family "tRNA", at positions 5 to 66 of the family's 71-position model. From Rfam's summary of the family: Transfer RNA (tRNA) molecules are approximately 80 nucleotides in length. Lineage: Eukaryota; Metazoa; Cnidaria; Anthozoa; Scleractinia; Caryophylliidae. The record is from RNAcentral.